This 71-nucleotide transfer RNA is filed under the name Paramuricea clavata. RNAcentral's name for it is "tRNA-Ser". The stretch from base 6 to 67 matches the Rfam family "tRNA", at positions 6 to 65 of the family's 71-position model. Rfam says of the family: Transfer RNA (tRNA) molecules are approximately 80 nucleotides in length. Their secondary structure includes four short double-helical elements and three loops (D, anti-codon, and T loops). Further hydrogen bonds mediate the characteristic L-shaped molecular structure. tRNAs have two regions of fundamental functional importance: the anti-codon, which is responsible for specific mRNA codon recognition, and the 3' end, to which the tRNAs corresponding amino acid is attached (by aminoacyl-tRNA synthetases). tRNAs cope with the degeneracy of the genetic code in two manners: having more than one tRNA (with a specific anti-codon) for a particular amino acid; and 'wobble' base-pairing, i.e. permitting non-standard base-pairing at the 3rd anti-codon position. The record is from RNAcentral. Lineage: Eukaryota; Metazoa; Cnidaria; Anthozoa; Malacalcyonacea; Plexauridae.
UUCGGUGUAGCUCAGUUGGUUAGAGCGCUGCACUGGAAUCGCAGGGCCGCAGGUUACAUUCCUGCCAGAAG